Molecule: long non-coding RNA, 354 nt
Organism: Drosophila navojoa
Lineage: Eukaryota; Metazoa; Arthropoda; Insecta; Diptera; Drosophilidae
Source: RefSeq, a predicted model, not a curated record
UUUGCCAAAGCGUUAAGAAAAUGUCUUUAAAAGACUGUAGCCUUUUUAAUUGGCUGCGCGAUAAAAGAGCUGACAUACUGGACUUUGGUGACUGAACUGAGACAUCUACUUGAACCACGUGGUUUUUGCAUCGUACUUGAAACUUGUAGCUAAUGACAAUGUAAUUCAAUAAAUAUGCGAGUUGCGCGUGGAAUUUACUUGGAUUCUUAUACGUGGAUAACCUACAAGUUAAAGUAAGUGGUCUUUAAAUUGUACAUCUGAUCGUUUUUUUUUAUUCUAUGAUGAUAUCUUCAUACCAACUCAGAAUAAUUAUGUUGAUAUUGACACGCCAUGCACUACCAUCUGAUUAAAAUA